Molecule: long non-coding RNA, 368 nt
Filed under: Ananas comosus (pineapple)
Lineage: Eukaryota; Viridiplantae; Streptophyta; Magnoliopsida; Poales; Bromeliaceae
Description: long non-coding RNA (ACOM_LNC031270)
Source: RNAcentral
AUUAUGCACAUGGUGCUAUUAAAGUUUUGAUAAAAAAAAUGUGUGUUGACUUAAAUGGGUCACCAUCAUGUCCUGUGGCGAGAGGUCAAGUAGGUCGAGUUACAUUCGAAAUGGUACAAGGCCGGGUUGGGCCAAGUCAUAUUCGAAGUGGCGUAAGGCUGGAUGGACUGAGUCACAAUCGAGAUCUAUAAAUGCUGUAUCUGUUUGUUUUAAAUGAAUUGGGUACGUAGUUGUAACAGUUCGAGUUUUUGGAAUUAAUGAUUAGUGUUAACGAUCCGCCAAUAUGGAGCUUACUUGAACUAUAGAUCAUUUUGAAUCAAUUAUCCAAUCUCCUAAAAUUUUGAAUUUAUUAUAUGUCCUUUUAAUUU